Poecilia reticulata (guppy) is the source of this 751-nucleotide non-coding RNA. Lineage: Eukaryota; Metazoa; Chordata; Actinopteri; Cyprinodontiformes; Poeciliidae. The record is from RefSeq and is a predicted model, not a curated record.
AGAGAAGACUUAAUACAGUUUUUGUACUUUAUUUAAAAAAAACCUAAAUGAUUACUGUCAAUAUGUUUGCUAGUUUGAGAUUGAUCUUCCGAAUGGAUACACUACAUUUCCCAGCAUGCUACAGUCGGUGUAGCGAUAACCAGCUAUUCCUCAAAUACAAGCGGUUAGGCAGGGAAAACAGUCCGUCUUUCUGUCAAACUGUGUCAAGUUAGAUUUUUAUAGAUCAGAAACUGAAACAAAAGGCGACUGUGUGUCACAGAAACCCUGAAGAUCCCAUUUUCAACUGGUUUCAUCUGUUGUCUAAUUUCAGGAGCCUUUUAAUGCAUCACAGAAAACAUAAAAAAUAAGAUUCUCCAGGGACAGAUGACAACACAUAACUGCAAGAAUUUAUAAAAACAAGAAUUGGAUCCACAUGGUAGAAUGUAUUAUUUUUUUCUCUGACCCACAAGGCUUGAAAACUCCACACACACUGUAAAUGUGUGUAAAUGAAGAAAAUCCCCUUCAGAUUGAAGUAAAUGUUGAUUGACCUUCUUGCUGUCUGUAACAGAUCAAAGCAGACAGAAGGAGCGGAUCCGCGACCCGCUUCACACCAGAACCGGAUGUAUAAACCUCAUUCCCACACAUGAAGGAAAAGGAAGCACCUCAACCAGGAAGUCACGUUCCCAUCAGUGGUUUUACGGUUCACUUCUCUGAAAAACAAACAGUAUUUGAACACAUUAUUCAGCUAAUAAAGCAUAAAGGAGAAGCUUGA